GUCCUUUUGAAUUUUUAUUUGAGGUCUAGUCUGCCCACUGAAUUUAUAUUUUAAAUGGCCGCAGUAUUUUGACUGUGCAAAGGUAGCAUAAUCAUUAGUUUUUUAAUUAAAAGCUUGUAUGAAAGGCUGGACGAGGUAAAAUCUGUCUCUAUUUAAAUUAUAGUAGAAUUUAACUUUUAAGUUAAAAGGCUUAAAUAUUAUUAAAAGACGAGAAGACCCUAUAGAUCUUUAUAAUUUAUUAAAUAAAAUUAAUUUAGAAAUAUUAAUGUUUUAUUUAAUUAAAUUAUUUUAUUGGGGUAAUAGAAAGAUUAAAUUAAUUCUUUUUUAUAAUAAACAUUUAUUUAUGAGUAUUGAUGAUCCAAUUUUAUUGAUUAUAAGAUUAAGUUACCUUAGGGAUAACAGCGUAAUUUUUUUAGAGAGUUCAUAUCGAUAAAAAAGUUUGCGACCUCGAUGUUGGAUUAAAGAUUAUUUUAGGUGUAGAAGCUUAAUAAUUUUGGUCUGUUCGACCAUUAAAUCUUUAC
Molecule: ribosomal RNA, 521 nt
Filed under: Carabus glabratus glabratus
Lineage: Eukaryota; Metazoa; Arthropoda; Insecta; Coleoptera; Carabidae
Also listed under: 1 other name
Description: partial 16S ribosomal RNA
Rfam family: Bacterial large subunit ribosomal RNA
Source: RNAcentral